GCUUUACACUGCAAGUCGAACGGCAGCGCGGACUUCGGUCUGGCGGCGAGUGGCGAACGGGUGAGUAAUGUAUCGGAACGUGCCCAGUAGCGGGGGAUAACUACGCGAAAGCGUAGCUAAUACCGCAUACGCCCUUUGGGGGAAAGCGGGGGACCUUCGGGCCUCGCACUAUUGGAGCGGCCGAUAUCGGAUUAGCUAGUUGGUGGGGUAAAGGCCUACCAAGGCGACGAUCCGUAGCUGGUUUGAGAGGACGACCAGCCACACUGGGACUGAGACACGGCCCAGACUCCUACGGGAGGCAGCAGUGGGGAAUUUUGGACAAUGGGGGCAACCCUGAUCCAGCCAUCCCGCGUGUGCGAUGAAGGCCUUCGGGUUGUAAAGCACUUUUGGCAGGAAAGAAACGGCCCUGGUUAAUACCUGGGGCAACUGACGGUACCUGCAGAAUAAGCACCGGCUAACUACGUGCCAGCAGCCGCGGUAAUACGUAGGGUGCAAGCGUUAAUCGGAAUUACUGGGCGUAAAGCGUGCGCAGGCGGUUCGGAAAGAAAGAUGUGAAAUCCCAGGGCUUAACCUUGGAACUGCAUUUUUAACUACCGGGCUAGAGUGUGUCAGAGGGAGGUGGAAUUCCGCGUGUAGCAGUGAAAUGCGUAGAGAUGCGGAGGAACACCGAUGGCGAAGGCAGCCUCCUGGGAUAACACUGACGCUCAUGCACGAAAGCGUGGGGAGCAAACAGGAUUAGAUACCCUG
RNAcentral lists this ribosomal RNA (747 nucleotides) under Bordetella petrii. RNAcentral describes it as "bacterial SSU rRNA". It matches the Rfam family "Bacterial small subunit ribosomal RNA", at positions 46 to 789 of the family's 1533-position model. The record is from RNAcentral. Lineage: Bacteria; Pseudomonadati; Pseudomonadota; Betaproteobacteria; Burkholderiales; Alcaligenaceae.